UUUACGUCCAACUUGAAUGUAGUAUGGACUCUGAAAAUUAAAAAAUUAUAUCUCAGUAAUAAAAUAAGACUUUAAAAAUUGAAUCUGAAAAAAAUAUCCCUUACUUCAAGUGAACAUGAGGAAAGAGAAUUUUCUUGUAGAUCUGUCAACAUUGCAAGUAAUUUUCAUUUUCAAAACACUAAGCUUUGCAUUCAUUAGCUUCUGUGUAUUGGCUGAUAAAUUAUUGCAGCUACUAUAAUGGUAACCCAAUCGAAGGUUCAUGAAGUAUUUUCAUUAUUACAAAAGACCUAACUAACUGUGAUUUACCUCAGAGUAACUGUAUAAAGUAACUGACUCAUCUAGUUUCUUUCGGGUUUGGAUAAAUUAAGUCAGCACAGAUAAAGGAAAUAUGGCCAAGGUCAUAAUAGCUGGAAGGGUAGACACAGCGUGCAGAACUUUCUCUUCUGCGGCCCAUUGCCUGUACGCAAAAUAAUAUCCUAGAGUACUAAAAUGAUCAACGUGUUGUUUGCUUUGAAGGAAAUUUUAAGAAAAAUUAUACCUACAACAACCUCCCAUUUUUAAAGAAUUUCAUGAAUACAUAUUUGCACAAAAAGAGCCAGAGAUCUUUUUGUGUAUCAGGCUGAUAAUAGGUCAUCAUCUAGUUAUUCUAAAGAAUGAGAGAGCAGAGUGAAGGUUUUAUAUUUUAUUUUGAGUAUAUUAUUCAUAUAAUUUACAACUAUUUAUUUAAAAUAAAACUUAAAGACAAAAUGAUUAGUAGCUGGCAAAGUAGAUGAAAAAGCAUAAUAUGUUGUGGGUUUCUGCUAAUUAAUGUACUUAUUUUGUAAUUGCUACUUUAUAUGGCUAUAAAGAUAAUUACAAACUAUUUGCUUUUAUAAUACUGUUGUUCACACCUUUGAUGUUCAUGUUAGGUCAGGGGUAAAGUCUUCUUUUUUUUCAUUGUUUUUUGGGUGAGGAAAAUGUGUUAUUUUCAGAAACAAAGGUUAAAAAAAAGUAUAAGGCAGUGAUAGCAAAUCUUACAGAGUUUAUAGUGAUACAGACAGCCCCCUGUAGCACAUGUACCACAGGUUUUUAGCACUACUAGUAUAAGAUGCACAUCUGAAUUCAAGGUUUAUUAAUGUAUUGUUGCAUAUCCUUAUUUUUAAAAUUACAAUUCAUGUAUAAAAUAUCAGCUUUGAUACUAUUAGUCACGAAACUGUGCAUCUAUGUUAAGAUGAAUUUAUGAAGCUUUAACUGAUAUCCUCAUUUGUAAAAUUCUGUCCCUUUAUCAUUAUUUGAGCAGUUUGCAGAAAGAAUGUAGAGAAAGAUCUGUUUUCCCAAAAGAGUUCCCUUUUUUUUUUUUUUUUUCAAAGUCAGCUUAUUUUGCUCACCAACUACAAAAGUAAGCAGCUGUGUCUUUAAGGAAACCCAAACCAGGGUUACAGAGUCUUUAGGGAGAUGGGAAGACAGCGGCAUAGCAUCCCCCUUCUUUACUUGGAGCAGUAAGGACUGGCUGUGGGAAUGCUGUAAACCUGAUGUUAUCCAUAUUCCUAUUGUUAAAUAAGGAACCUAAAAUGCCGGUAAGAGAAAAAUUUGUUUAAAACAUAAAAUCAGGUGCUGCUUGAAAGUAUUCCAGAUAAUACGACCAGGGUCUCCCUCUGAAUACAUGCUGCUCUCUGUUCACACUAGUUUGCACUAGUUUAAUUGAUGAGAACCCUCAGAAAAUCAAUAUCUCUAUGAUGAUACCUGGCAUGCCAUCUAAUUUAAUAAGUUUAUUUACUUACUUAGCAUUCCUGCAUUGGAAAUAAGACACAUUGUUCUUACAUAUCGAAUUAUAUCUUCUGUUUGUGUCUGAGUAUCUCAGUAAUCUUACUGAGCCAUUCUUGGCAAAACUUGGGCAGUAUUUUAAUAAAUUUUCAUAAUAUGAAUGAAUUUUCUAUUGAUGUUAUUGUUAAAGGGCUUUAAAAUUAAGAAUGAGUCUUUAUUGUGUAAGCACCUUUAUGUGUAUUUAUUAAUGUAGACCAUAAUUUGGUGUACAGGUGCUCCUUCGCUUAGGAUGGGGUCGUACCCUUCCCUAAACGUACCUUAAGUUGAAAAUGUAAGUAGAAAAUGUCGUCCAUACGCUGGACCCACAAACAUCAGGGCGGCAGCAGUGCAGGGUGUCAGUUGUUCACCCCCGCAGUCGUGAGACCCGCCUCGAGCCGCCCCUCAGUGCCGCUGCCAAGCAUCAGGAGACGAAAUGGACGCUUAGCAGAAAUUACCUGAAGCCUUCAUUUACCCUGCAGCCUAGGCCUUUCACUCCCCACAGGUGUGAAAGAGCAAGGUCCGGGACGUCUGCCUGCAUGACGUACUGACUCGGCUGUGGUCAGCUGUUUUGAAUUCAUGACAUUUUUCAAGUUCUUGAAUUUAUGUUUGCUGUUGCAUCUCCUGCUUUCCCUGGCCCAAAGAGUGGAGAGAAAAGUGCCGCUUCAGAGCCCCGCGUCGUUUUGGUUUUAAGUGUGGUUGGACAUGUCGUUCUGUUUGCCUUUUUGGAGAAAUAAAAGCGUGGUUCUCAAUGUG
This is a long non-coding RNA of Chinchilla lanigera (long-tailed chinchilla), 2535 nucleotides long. RefSeq lists it as uncharacterized. The transcript has 2 exons. Lineage: Eukaryota; Metazoa; Chordata; Mammalia; Rodentia; Chinchillidae. The record is from RefSeq and is a predicted model, not a curated record.